Molecule: ribosomal RNA, 604 nt
Filed under: uncultured fungus
Lineage: Eukaryota; Fungi
Description: eukaryotic LSU rRNA
Rfam family: Eukaryotic large subunit ribosomal RNA
Source: RNAcentral
ACCCGCUGAACUUAAGCAUAUCAAUAAGCGGAGGAAAAGAAACCAACAGGGAUUGCCUUAGUAACUGCGAGUGAAGCGGCAAAAGCUCAAAUUUGAAAUCUGGUGCCUUCGGCGCCCGAGUUGUAAUUUGGAGAGACAUCUUCGGAGUAGACGCCGUCCUAAGUUCCUUGGAACAGGACGUCACAGAGGGUGAGAAUCCCGUGCCUGGAUGGCUGUUCUACUUCAUGUGAAGUGUCUUCGACGAGUCGAGUUGUUUGGGAAUGCAGCUCAAAAUGGGAGGUAAAUUUCUUCUAAAGCUAAAUAUUGGCGAGAGACCGAUAGCGCACAAGUAGAGUGAUCGAAAGAUGAAAAGCACUCUGAAAAGAGAGUUAAAAAGUACGUGAAAUUGUUGAAAGGGAAGCGCUUGAGACCAGACUCGACCAGUGGUGAUCAGCGGUGCUUCUGUGCCGUGCACUUGCCAUUGGUUGGGCCAGCAUCGGUUUGGACGGCGGGAUAAAGACCUAAGGAAUGUGGCUCCCUCCGGGGAGUGUUAUAGCCUUGAGUGCAAUGCCGCCAGUCUGGACCGAGGACCGCGCUCCGGCUAGGAUGCUGGCGUAAUGGUCUU